CAACACCACGCCCCUCGCCAAAUAAAAGCACACAGAAGCAGAGGGAUGGCAAGCAUCAUUCAUUCCACAAAUAAUAAUUGAGUCUCCCCAUCCCUGGUAGCUCAGCUGGUAAAGAAUCUGCCUGCAAUGCUGGAGACCUGGGUUCAGUCCCUGGGUUGGGAAGAUCCCCUGGAGAAGGGCAUGGCAACCCACUCCAGUAUUCUUCAACCCACUUCAGUAUUCUUGUCUGGAGAAUCCCUUUGGACAGAGAUGCCUGGUGGGCUACAGUCCAUGGGGUGGUGUGGGGUGGGGGGUGUCACAAAGAGUCAGGCACAACUGAGCGACUAUGCAGAGCCCCCCACCCUGUUACCGGGUGCCCUGCUUGGCCUGGGCAAGCUGUGAACCAGGCAGACGCUGUCUCUGCCCUAAGAGAGCUUAUGGGCCCCUGUACUUCCCAGCAUGAUCAAAUCUCCUGUGUGUAUGAACCAGCUUCUGGAAGGCAAGUAUCCCUUGGACAGGCUCCAACAGGUCACCUGGGCCAAAGUCAGAAGGACUCUCUGAAGCCUGCACCUGCCUGAGAUGAAGGACAGAUAAGGAGCUGUCUGGAUUUACAGAGCAUCAGAGCUCAGGCCCUGGAGCUCCUCUCCCCCUACCUCUCCACUUUACAGGAGAGAAGACAGGCCAAGACGGAGGUCACAGAGCAGGCAGGGCUGUGAGAUGCCCCCGGCAGGCAGCUUCUCUGAGAUGCUCUCCCAGGGCAGUCUGGUCAAGGGCAGGCUGAGCUCAGUGGCCAUCACUGACCUUGCUGGUUAGGAAGCCCUCGAGACUCUUGGUAGGUGUGGCCUCUCCGACAGCAGAGGGCAGGUGUUUCUGGAGUGGGACAGGUGCUCCCACUUCAGGUUUCUUGUAUUAGUACCCUGUCAUUCUCCUCUGGGCCCCGUGGUCAUCAGCAGCUGAGCCGUGCCCAUGUCUGAGCCAGACUGAGGUGCCCUGGAUUGGAACAGCCCUGAUUACAGCCUUCAUCCCGGCAGCCAGCUGGGCCAGAGGUUUAGAGAAAGGAGAGCUCUCCUCAGUGGGUCUUGGCCUGAUGCAGAGGGGCCUCCAAUCUGUAGCUGGGCAAGUCCAGUUCUAAUGGCCACCCCUUGGUGGUGGUCAGCGUAAGGGGAUCCAGAACAGGAGAUCAGGGAUGGGGAGCUGUACCUGCUUUUCCACCAAUUUCCUCUAAGCCUUUUGGAAAAGCUUCUCUCCGUUCUUGGAUUCAGUUUCCCUUCCUGAGCCUUGGGGCUAACCAUCCCUCCCCACCCACCGGCCCCAGCUGGAACAGUAGCUAGGAUCCAUCAUAUUCUUUUUUGUCAGGCCUGUCCCUACCAAAUUCAUCCCCAGGAGGGACAGCCCCGUCCCUGCCCUCAACGCCCCCACCCCGCAGUUCUCUGCAAUGUCAUCUCUGAAGUUCCCCAAAUAGGGUUUCCUGCUGCCAGGAAAACCAGCGUGGACAGGCUGAGAAGCGUGAACCCAUACAGCGAUGCCACAGCCUGUCUCUGGAGCCCUUAUCUCCAGACCCAGCUGGGAACUUGAUGUAUUUAUUAGCUUCUCCCAGGACCUCCUCUGUCCAACCCACAUCUUUGUUGGUACUGCAAGAAAGUGACCUUCCUGCAGAUAGCUGUGUCUGGGCGGGGGGGAAGCUGUAGUAAAUCCAUCCAGCCUGCAGCCUGCAGGGUGACCCCAUCGGGGUAGAGGAGAUGGCGGAGGAGGCUUGAAGAGAUGCGGACAGAGGUACUAGUCGACGGAGCUGGGAACAGAGUUGCCCAAAUCCUAAUGAACUGGAACCAGAAGAGAGGAAGGGGAGAGAGCAGACUUGACAAGGGCACUGUCACCGUGGGCCCAGGGCCACCCACCCCCUGCCUUCUCCUUGGUUGGUCUGCUUUACUCUACAAUCAGUCUGCUGUGGUGUCGGCCAGAGCUUCAUGGCUGGAGAACUCCAGGAGAACUCCAGAAAGAAAGCCCUCAGAUAAACCCUACCCCCAGGCCCUCUGCAUUUUGUCUGCACAAAGAACGCAGUUUUAGACAAUCAGACAUGCGACACUGGAUUUUGGAAUAUUUCCGGUCACAAUUGUUUGGCUGGAUAGCUUUGUGGAAAUUUUCUGUGGUUUGCUAGCUAGCUUUUG
Long non-coding RNA from Bos taurus (domestic cattle), 2144 nucleotides. The record is from Ensembl. Lineage: Eukaryota; Metazoa; Chordata; Mammalia; Artiodactyla; Bovidae.